ACCCUUCCGGUUCGUUACAAGAGAGUUAGGGGAAAAAUGAUAAACGCCAAAAUUUGGCUCGGCAAAAGGAAGUCUUGUGACAGAGUGUUAUUUGUGGUGAAUACUCUUCCAACAAUAACACCUGGAGGGACAUUACCUUGGUUCGCCUAGAACAUUGGUAAGUACCUUUUGAACUCUUAACAAGAUUUUGACUUCCCUGGAUUUUUGACUUUCUGUCAAAACUCCAGUAGGUGAUCAUACGCCGUGUAGGUGGGGGCGAAGAGGAUACUCUCCAUUCGUUCUCGGGGUAGAGGUUUAGGCCCAGGGGUGACGGCUAGUCUCCUGGGGAAGCGAGGAACCAGCUUUUGACAGUUAGUUCGCGAUUUUGACGCUCACGACGAGUGAGAGUGUGUGUGAGGAUUUUUAUUUUGUAAAGAACAGUUUUGAUCGGAUCUUCGUUACCGACGGAAGGUAUGCGUGCGUUUUACCGAAGACAGCA
Cotesia glomerata is the source of this 478-nucleotide long non-coding RNA. RefSeq lists it as uncharacterized. The transcript is spliced from 3 exons. Lineage: Eukaryota; Metazoa; Arthropoda; Insecta; Hymenoptera; Braconidae. The record is from RefSeq and is a predicted model, not a curated record.